This is a non-coding RNA of Garciella nitratireducens DSM 15102, 143 nucleotides long. NCBI's taxonomy places the organism in Bacteria, Bacillati, Bacillota, Clostridia, Eubacteriales, Eubacteriaceae. The record is from Rfam.
AAAAGAAAGUAGAAGAUUCCACUUCUCACCUUACUGCUAAGUGAAUGCAUGUAGGGUCUAUAACUCAUGGAUAAUUUUUUAUUGUUUUAUAUGAUGGAGUUUAUAGGUGCAGGUGGGAUUUCUACCUGUAUUUUUUAUUAUUA